GGAAAUUCCUCCGUCAAUCAUCAAGAAUCUUCCUUCUAAGGUACAGAUAUCAGUCAUGGGUUAGCUUGUGGUCCCUCGGGGUCAUGAUCACCGUGUAGCAUUCUGGUUCAGCAAAUUGGGGUAUUACAUAAUGAUAGGGAAAAAGCAUCUCCAUUGAAAAGGUCAAAAGUAAUGGGAAUGGGUGUGUUCCAAGCUGAAAAUGGAUUCAAAGUCCUAAAUCCUGGCAUGCCUAGCAGUAAGAUCUGCUCUACUGGUCAAGCAAGGGUAACAAGAUCAGCUGAUAUAACUGGUAACAUUGGUUAUACACCAACUUCUACCAGUAAGCUGAAAUGAAAUGGCAAAGAAGCAAUAUCAACAAAAAAAACUACAAGAGAUUAAAGAGAAGAAAAGGAAGAAGAACGUAGGAAGCAGCUCAAAUAAUCCAAGUAAAAAAAACACUUCUUCAAAGUCCAAGAUGCCCUGGAAAUUGUAGUGAUGUUGAUUAUUUUAAGCACUGUUUUAAGUUAGAUCAGUUGACAUGAAAAUAAUUUUAUUUUGGUGUUGGAAAACAAUUAAAGCGCUAUAUAAAUAUUUUGUUGAUGAA
Molecule: long non-coding RNA, 583 nt
Organism: Capsicum annuum
Lineage: Eukaryota; Viridiplantae; Streptophyta; Magnoliopsida; Solanales; Solanaceae
Exons: 3
Source: RefSeq, a predicted model, not a curated record